GCGGAGAAAUAUACAUCACAAUGAACAUGAUGAAAUUUACAUCAACUGUUGAAACCAAUCGAUUGUGAACGAAUGCGUUAAAGUAUGGAAUAAAAUAUCAACAAUAAGCAUAACACAUAAUGAUUUAUAGGUUUUAAAGUAAAAAUAUUAACAAGUAAAAUAUGUUUUUCCAAAAAUUGUAAAAGAAAUAAGUUUGAGUCGUUCCACGCUUCGUUGUAUAGUAAAUUAGAACUUUAAGCAUUGUCUUUAAUUAUAAAUUGAUGAAGAUUCAAUUUAUUGUCGUAUAAACUACCGAUUUUGAUUGGUCAAGCCAAGAGGGUGACAUUCAAAAAAAU
This 335-nucleotide long non-coding RNA is filed under the name Mytilus galloprovincialis (Mediterranean mussel). The record is from RNAcentral. Lineage: Eukaryota; Metazoa; Mollusca; Bivalvia; Mytilida; Mytilidae.